UACGUAGGGGGCUAGCGUUGUCCGGAAUCAUUGGGCGUAAAGCGCGUGUAGGCGGUCCGGUAAGUCCGCUGUGAAAGCCAGGGGCUCAACCCUUGGAUGCCGGUGGAUACUGUCGGGCUUGAGUACGGAAGAGGCGAGUGGAAUUCCUGGUGUAGCGGUGGAAUGCGCAGAUAUCAGGAGGAACACCUAUAGCGAAGGCAGCUUGCUGGGACGUUACUGACGCUAAGGCGCGAAAGCGUGGGGAGCGAACAGG
This 253-nucleotide ribosomal RNA is filed under the name uncultured bacterium. RNAcentral's name for it is "partial 16S ribosomal RNA". It matches the Rfam family "Bacterial small subunit ribosomal RNA", at positions 524 to 776 of the family's 1533-position model. The record is from RNAcentral.